AUAGCCUGGGGGGGUGACGUUUUUUUUUUUUUUUUAGGACUAGACCCCAGCUAUAUUUAACUCCUAAGUUAUUUGGUUCAAACAAAGGGAUUGGUGUGGCUAAACAUUAGGUACCUUUUGAUAUUCUAAAAUCUCCGGGGGGCUGGCAUCUAGAUGCUGGGGUGGGGAGGUCUCGACAUCGCUGGGCUGAUUGACUUUUUAAAACCCUACAGCAUCUGUUUUAGACCCUAAAACAUAAAUUAUGUUUUGACAUGUUGUUAAUGAUUCGUAAGUGGCCGUAAGACAAAGACACACUUUUUUGUUUGGGGGUCGGCCUCUGUUUUGACGUAUAUUGUAAAGAGAGAGAGAGAGAGAGCCUUGAGCGCAGACGCCUGGCCAUUUCUGAACACACACCCCGCCCCGUUUUCUUUGUUUUGAAACACACACAUACGCAUACACUCCAGCACACGCACGCACACACACACGCGCGCGCACAUGGCUUUUUCUGCAAGUUUUUUUCUCCGGGGGCAUGCUUGGUGAUAGAAGUUAAGGACUUAUUCCUAUCGUUAGAAGAUAUAGGUCCUGGUUAGCCCCUGACCAUUAUCCGAUCGCUAAGACGCUUGCACACUCCCUCAAAGCUCCGUAAGUUUUCCCUCCAUGGGUAGAUAAUCCGUCCGUCAUGUAAAUCCUGGGGUAUGCACCCAGCUUUAAUGAAUAAGAUGGGUAGAAAAUGAAUCUGUUUAAGUCCUAAGUAAAGGCCUUUCAUAAAGAGGCUGUCAUGAUUGACUGUGGCCCAUAUUUAACACGUAUUGCUUGUUACAGAAGACCCCUGUUGUACAUUGAAUAUCCAAUAGCCGAUUUUUGGAGCAUCUCCACUAUAUCUGUCAUGUUACUGUGGUCUUUUUAAAAGUCAAUAAACAUGUGUGUAAAAUGUACACUUUUGUUUCACUGUAGAUUGUUUAAGCCCACCUAGAAACACCUGAUUUAUCCCACAGCAUCAAUGAAUAAGCUGCGUAUAAAAUUAUUCUGUUUAAGUCAUAAGUAAAGGCCUUUCAUAAAGAGGCUGUCAUGAUUGACUGUGGCCCAUAUUUAACACGUAUUGCUUGUUACAGAAGACCCCUGUUGUACAUUGAAUAUCCAAUAGCCGAUUUUUGGAGCAUCUCCACUAUAUCUGUCAUGUUACUGUGGUCUUUUUAAAAGUCAAUAAACAUGUGUGUAAAAUGUA
Salvelinus fontinalis (brook trout) is the source of this 1204-nucleotide long non-coding RNA. RefSeq lists it as uncharacterized. The record is from RefSeq and is a predicted model, not a curated record. NCBI's taxonomy places the organism in Eukaryota, Metazoa, Chordata, Actinopteri, Salmoniformes, Salmonidae. The transcript has 2 exons.